UGUGGAAUAUUGCACAAUGGGCGCAAGCCUGAUGCAGCCAUGCCGCGUGUAUGAAGAAGGCCUUCGGGUUGUAAAGUACUUUCAGCGGGGAGGAAGGGAGUAAAGUUAAUACCUUUGCUCAUUGACGUUACCCGCAGAAGAAGCACCGGCUAACUCCGUGCCAGCAGCCGCGGUAAUACGGAGGGUGCAAGCGUUAAUCGGAAUUACUGGGCGUAAAGCGCACGCAGGCGGUUUGUUAAGUCAGAUGUGAAAUCCUCGGGCUCAACCUGGGAACUGCAUCUGAUACUGGCAAGCUUGAGUCUCGUAGAGGGGGGUAGAAUUCCAGGUGUAGCGGUGAAAUGCGUAGAGAUCUGGAGGAAUACCGGUGGCGAAGGCGGCCCCCUGGACGAAGACUGACGCUCAGGUGCGAAAGCGUGGGGAGCAAACAGG
RNAcentral lists this ribosomal RNA (429 nucleotides) under Chloroflexota bacterium. Its description in RNAcentral is "Chloroflexi bacterium partial 16S ribosomal RNA". It matches the Rfam family "Bacterial small subunit ribosomal RNA", at positions 355 to 776 of the family's 1533-position model. The record is from RNAcentral. Lineage: Bacteria; Bacillati; Chloroflexota.